This is a small nucleolar RNA of Cavia aperea (Brazilian guinea pig), 111 nucleotides long. Lineage: Eukaryota; Metazoa; Chordata; Mammalia; Rodentia; Caviidae. The record is from Ensembl.
AAUCGUAUUCUAAAAGUUAAAUCAUUCACCUGCAAGUGAGAACAACCUGGAGAGACUUUGACAGCUGAGAUUAACCCAAUCCUGUGGCUGCGGCUCAUUUUUCUAAUAAGA